UUAAGCGACUAAGCGUACACGGUGGAUGCCCUGGCAGUCAGAGGCGAUGAAGGACGUGCUAAUCUGCGAUAAGCGUCGGUAAGGUGAUAUGAACCGUUAUAACCGGCGAUUUCCGAAUGGGGAAACCCAGUGUGAUUCGUCACACUAUCAUUAACUGAAUCCAUAGGUUAAUGAGGCGAACCGGGGGAACUGAAACAUCUAAGUACCCCGAGGAAAAGAAAUCAACCGAGAUUCCCCCAGUAGCGGCGAGCGAACGGGGAGCAGCCCAGAGCCUGAAUCAGUGUGUGUGUUAGUGGAAGCGUCUGGAAAGGCGCGCGAUACAGGGUGACAGCCCCGUACACAAAAAUGCACAGCUGUGAGCUCGAUGAGUAGGGCGGGACACGUGGUAUCCUGUCUGAAUAUGGGGGGACCAUCCUCCAAGGCUAAAUACUCCUGACUGACCGAUAGUGAACCAGUACCGUGAGGGAAAGGCGAAAAGAACCCCGGCGAGGGGAGUGAAAAAGAACCUGAAACCGUGUACGUACAAGCAGUGGGAGCACGCUUAGGCGUGUGACUGCGUACCUUUUGUAUAAUGGGUCAGCGACUUAUAUUCUGUAGCAAGGUUAACCGAAUAGGGGAGCCGAAGGGAAACCGAGUCUUAACUGGGCGUUAAGUUGCAGGGUAUAGACCCGAAACCCGGUGAUCUAGCCAUGGGCAGGUUGAAGGUUGGGUAACACUAACUGGAGGACCGAACCGACUAAUGUUGAAAAAUUAGCGGAUGACUUGUGGCUGGGGGUGAAAGGCCAAUCAAACCGGGAGAUAGCUGGUUCUCCCCGAAAGCUAUUUAGGUAGCGCCUCGUGAAUUCAUCUCCGGGGGUAGAGCACUGUUUCGGCAAGGGGGUCAUCCCGACUUACCAACCCGAUGCAAACUGCGAAUACCGGAGAAUGUUAUCACGGGAGACACACGGCGGGUGCUAACGUCCGUCGUGAAGAGGGAAACAACCCAGACCGCCAGCUAAGGUCCCAAAGUCAUGGUUAAGUGGGAAACGAUGUGGGAAGGCCCAGACAGCCAGGAUGUUGGCUUAGAAGCAGCCAUCAUUUAAAGAAAGCGUAAUAGCUCACUGGUCGAGUCGGCCUGCGCGGAAGAUGUAACGGGGCUAAACCAUGCACCGAAGCUGCGGCAGCGACGCUGAUGCGUUGUUGGGUAGGGGAGCGUUCUGUAAGCCUGCGAAGGUGUGCUGUGAGGCAUGCUGGAGGUAUCAGAAGUGCGAAUGCUGACAUAAGUAACGAUAAAGCGGGUGAAAAGCCCGCUCGCCGGAAGACCAAGGGUUCCUGUCCAACGUUAAUCGGGGCAGGGUGAGUCGACCCCUAAGGCGAGGCCGAAAGGCGUAGUCGAUGGGAAACAGGUUAAUAUUCCUGUACUUGGUGUUACUGCGAAGGGGGGACGGAGAAGGCUAUGUUGGCCGGGCGACGGUUGUCCCGGUUUAAGCGUGUAGGCUGGUUUUCCAGGCAAAUCCGGAAAAUCAAGGCUGAGGCGUGAUGACGAGGCACUACGGUGCUGAAGCAACAAAUGCCCUGCUUCCAGGAAAAGCCUCUAAGCAUCAGGUAACAUCAAAUCGUACCCCAAACCGACACAGGUGGUCAGGUAGAGAAUACCAAGGCGCUUGAGAGAACUCGGGUGAAGGAACUAGGCAAAAUGGUGCCGUAACUUCGGGAGAAGGCACGCUGAUAUGUAGGUGAAGUCCCUCGCGGAUGGAGCUGAAAUCAGUCGAAGAUACCAGCUGGCUGCAACUGUUUAUUAAAAACACAGCACUGUGCAAACACGAAAGUGGACGUAUACGGUGUGACGCCUGCCCGGUGCCGGAAGGUUAAUUGAUGGGGUCAGCGCAAGCGAAGCUCUUGAUCGAAGCCCCGGUAAACGGCGGCCGUAACUAUAACGGUCCUAAGGUAGCGAAAUUCCUUGUCGGGUAAGUUCCGACCUGCACGAAUGGCGUAAUGAUGGCCAGGCUGUCUCCACCCGAGACUCAGUGAAAUUGAACUCGCUGUGAAGAUGCAGUGUACCCGCGGCAAGACGGAAAGACCCCGUGAACCUUUACUAUAGCUUGACACUGAACAUUGAGCCUUGAUGUGUAGGAUAGGUGGGAGGCUUUGAAGUGUGGACGCCAGUCUGCAUGGAGCCGACCUUGAAAUACCACCCUUUAAUGUUUGAUGUUCUAACGUUGACCCGUAAUCCGGGUUGCGGACAGUGUCUGGUGGGUAGUUUGACUGGGGCGGUCUCCUCCUAAAGAGUAACGGAGGAGCACGAAGGUUGGCUAAUCCUGGUCGGACAUCAGGAGGUUAGUGCAAUGGCAUAAGCCAGCUUGACUGCGAGCGUGACGGCGCGAGCAGGUGCGAAAGCAGGUCAUAGUGAUCCGGUGGUUCUGAAUGGAAGGGCCAUCGCUCAACGGAUAAAAGGUACUCCGGGGAUAACAGGCUGAUACCGCCCAAGAGUUCAUAUCGACGGCGGUGUUUGGCACCUCGAUGUCGGCUCAUCACAUCCUGGGGCUGAAGUAGGUCCCAAGGGUAUGGCUGUUCGCCAUUUAAAGUGGUACGCGAGCUGGGUUUAGAACGUCGUGAGACAGUUCGGUCCCUAUCUGCCGUGGGCGCUGGAGAACUGAGGGGGGCUGCUCCUAGUACGAGAGGACCGGAGUGGACGCAUCACUGGUGUUCGGGUUGUCAUGCCAAUGGCACUGCCCGGUAGCUAAAUGCGGAAGAGAUAAGUGCUGAAAGCAUCUAAGCACGAAACUUGCCCCGAGAUGAGUUCUCCCUGACUCCUUGAGAGUCCUGAAGGAACGUUGAAGACGACGACGUUGAUAGGCCGGGUGUGUAAGCGCAGCGAUGCGUUGAGCU
This 2868-nucleotide ribosomal RNA is filed under the name Escherichia coli 2-156-04_S1_C3. Its description in RNAcentral is "bacterial LSU rRNA". It matches the Rfam family "Bacterial large subunit ribosomal RNA". Lineage: Bacteria; Pseudomonadati; Pseudomonadota; Gammaproteobacteria; Enterobacterales; Enterobacteriaceae. The record is from RNAcentral.